This 5385-nucleotide long non-coding RNA is filed under the name Anas platyrhynchos (mallard). Its description in RNAcentral is "lncRNA (ENSAPLG00020007554.1)". Lineage: Eukaryota; Metazoa; Chordata; Aves; Anseriformes; Anatidae. The record is from RNAcentral.
AGAUCCCAGUUUCUAAAUGCAGCCCAAACAAGACUGGAUGAGAAUAUUCGGAUGACAAUAAUGUGAAAACAUCUGCCUCCUUACAAGUUGCUAGGACAAACUUAGUUACGUAGCUGAUUGUCUUCAACCUACCGCUGCGCUUCCUUUUUCAGGAGGAGCAGAAGCAUGGUAUUUGCAGGGCUGGACACCGAAGAAGCAAAAUUCAUUUCUGCUAUGGGCUGGUUGCCAUUCAGCAAAGAGCCAGGCGUUUGUUUUAUCUGCCCUGGGACCCCGGAGCAGGGUGAAGGCUUUCAGCUGCCGUGCUGCCGCCCAUCCCGUGCCAUGGAGAGACCCCCAAAUUACCAAGAGAGCUUUCCGCAGCCCCUGUGCGGGAUGAGGGAGAGGAGCUGCUUUGGAGGCCCUCAUGCAACAUCACGAAGCUGCAGCACAAAAUUGCCAGGAGCCCUGGGCUGCUGCGCCUCUUCACAGCCACAUUUCUCAGGGGACGCUAAAGGAAGUUUGGUCCUUCUCAUCCCGGUGACGUCCCUGCGAGGCUUCACAGGGGCGCUGCAGCCGGCGGCUUCCUCCACCUCACGUGGCCUUGGUGCUCGGGUCAGCAUCCUCAAACAGCUGGGGAAGCAGCUGGGCGAUCUCACGGGGAUUUGUGCACGCUCAGGGGCAAGUCGUGGGAAAACGUGCUCUGGGAUGGUCUCGCACACCCACGUGGGCUUCUCCAGGGUCUCCUGGGGCACACGCUGCCUGUUCUCAGUGUUUUCCCAUGCUGCUCGUGUGGGGCUGUCACAGCUGCUUCAGGAGGAACUCGGGGCUGGGCCUGCACCCGUGUUGCAGCUGGCGAGCUGAGGGAUGUGUGGGGCAGCCCUUCCACCACCGCCUGUGUCACUGUUCUCCAGAAGAGCCCGGGACCACUUGCAGAGACCAAUGGACCUGGGAGAAGCUGAAACAAACUGGUCCUGAGGCCUGUUACUGGGACGUUCACUGAGACCCGAGGAGAGAAAGAUGGCCCAGCAGUAAAAGCAGCGCUCAGCUGGGUUUGGUGCCUUUGGGGUUUCCCUAGACUUUGAGUUUAUGUUAGCUACUGAUGGAGGCAUUCAGCAGGCAGCAGUUUGUGAUGGUUUCACACCAGGAUCACCUGCAAAAACAGCUCCCCUUCCAGAGCCCAUGGUGCUGAGCGGGACCAGGAGCUGCCUGGGGCAGAGCCUGGAGGAAGCAUCAGAAGCUGCCUUAAUUAGAGGCCGUUCCAGGGCUAAUUAGCCAUGCUUCAGAAAGAGUAGAGGAAGAAUAAAUGAUUUGUCAAAGGUGCGUGAGCCCGAGAUGUCCUGUCCCGCUGCCUUGGCCCUGCCAGCCCCUGGCUCGAUGCUGAAUUCGCACACUGGCGGCAUUUUCUUUGUGUGCUAGGGAUGUGUAAGGCCAAAAGCCCCGAUGGCGGGGGGGGGCAGGAAGGGAAUAAGGAGCCCGUUGUGCUGCUGGGGGAGCAGGGCGGCAGCAGGGCCGCAGCCGGCAGCUGCUCGCGGGGCUGCGGCUGGAGGCUGAGCCACAAAGGACAAAUUCACGGGGCCCGAGCGUGGCUCUGCGGCCCAGCACACUGCAAGCAUUAUGGGGCCGGGUGGGCAGCCCUGGGCAGCCUCCCACCCGCUCCCCAUCAAAGCACUGCCUUGAGCUGAGCCCUGGCGCAGAAAGGGAGGAGGAGGAGGCACUGGGAAGCGUUUCCAAUGUUCCUGUGCCAAGGAGCAGGCUUGGGGAGCAGCGCAGCAGGGGAUGGGCACCCAGGUGCUGCCAGGGCCCAGCACUGCUUGCAGGGUGCCAACGGAGCCUCCUGGAUUCAUUUCCGUGGUGCCCUCCCUGCUUUGCAGCCCAGGAACCUGAAAAGCCCUGGGUGUCACUCAGGAUGGCCACACAGAGAGCAAUAGGUGCCUGGAUCCGAGCUCCUCUCAGCAGAGCGAAGCUGGCAAGUAAUUUUACUUCUCUCCCCAAGUGUUUUACGUAUAAAUCAGGCUUCUUGUAUCCCAUUUGGAGUGAAGGGUGGUGCAGCUGAGUGAAAGCAAGCAGCGCUGUGGCUCUGCUGCCCUUUGCUACCCAGGGUUGUUACAAAUCAUCAGACAAAUUAACUUCAGCUGGGCUAUGCCUUCACUCCACCUUCCCCACGGGCCAGCGUGUGGAUGUAACAUUUUCGGGGCCGCAGAUACCCAGUACCCUACUGCAGGUUUUCAUUUAGCUUUGGAAAUAAGCAGUGUCAAGCUGCCGUGUCAGUGUGGCUUAAAUUCACAGCAGAAGUCAUUUGGUUGGAAGCACUGUACGUUAUUAAAUAUGACUGCACAGGAGCCCCUGUGGGAUAAUCCUUUAUGAUAAAUGAUGUUGGAAACUGAGGGAGACCCGAUAUUGGCCAUCUCGCAUACCAGUCACAGUUAAUCUGCAGGAACGGUAAAAGACACGGCAUAAUCACGGAUAUGUGGAGCAAAGGGCAAAGGCUGGGCUUUGACAAAGCGACAGCUAAAUCUGAGAUGCAGUCAGCCCUGAGUGCACUGCAAACAGACGGAGCGGGAGCAUCCUUCUUCAGCACAGGAAAGGCAGCACAGUGCAUGCCCACAGGUUUCUCUCCAGUAAUGUGCACCUUGCUCAGCUGACUCUCCGGUAUUGUCUAGUGCCAAAGAACCAGAAAUCUGCAGAAAUAAAGAGAUUAAAAGGCGAACAGAAGCCUCUUGCUUUCUGAGUCCCAUUAGAAAUGUCCAUGAAUGUCAAUGGGAACAACAGACAGCAUCCCUCUUCUGCAGGACUCUAACGCAGGGAGAUAUUUAUUUGUCCUGUCAGGGUAUCAGACUGCUGUAAUUGAGCAAACGAUAAUACAUGUUUGACUGGCCUCAGAGUGAAGUUUUCUGCUCUAAAUGCAUCGAUUUGGGGCUGACAUAAAAAGCCAUUAAGGCCCUGAUGCACGGCGAGGACAAGCGAGCCUGGCAGCUCCCGGCCAUGAGUUUGCAGCCCUGGAAAAAAAAAAGGCACGAUGUGGGCUGCCCCUCUGCAGCUCUCGGCUGUUGUGGGACCGGGCACAGGGCGCUGCCCUUUGUUCUGUGCCCAAUGCGUUGCCAUUGUCUGGUGAGCAGAUCACAGGCGGCUUUGGCCCUCUCCCUCUGAAACAAUCGCAUUUAGGGCUUGACCGAGAAGCAUUCGGCAUGAGAUUAGCUUCCCGGCGCGGGGGCAGGACUGGAGCAAUAAUUGAAUAAGCGCGAGGCAGCGCCUGAGGCACGCAGGGAUGAGUCAGGGCAGCUGGCAGCGGAGCCGCUGCCCAUGGGCAGCAGGGAAAAGCUCCCGGGGGCUCCUCCCGGCCCCUCCGCUGCCCUCCUGGAGCCUCUGGGCACAGCCCCGUGCCCACAGCCCCUGUCACAGCCCUGCACCACCCCAAACUCCCCGCUCAGCAUCAGGCACCCAUCUGUGGCUGCGCUGCGCCCUGCCCGUGUGUUCUCCCCCGGAAAAUGCUAAUUGGCAUGCUGCUGUUGUGCUGAGUGGCACGUUCCUAAUAGGAUUCGGGAUCUGCUGCUGCUUUCUCGCUCCGCGUCUGUUGGAUUUCCCGCUCCCUUUAAUAUUUUUUUUUUCACUCCGUUUGGUUGCUGCUUUCAGUGCAGGCUGCUCUGUGGAAAAUAGAAGAAAUCAAGGGUUUAUUUUUAGAAGCUGCAAAAGGAAUUCAACCCAAGGCAAAUGCAAUUACUUCAGGUUGCUAGCAGGCUUCUGAGAAGCAAGACAAAUCUUCUCAAGAGCAAGUGGCCUAAAAUGCCAUGAAGGCAUCACGCAAGGAGAGCUUCACUUAACCAUUUGAGGAGUGCAUUUAGUUGCAUGGGGCCAAGUAGCGAGGGACGUGGUGCUGCCUGCUCCCGGCACUCCAGCACAGCACAGAGCCGUGCCCACGGCACGCCCCGGCCAUGCCCCCACCUCCUGGAUGCUAUUCCUGGACCGCUUUUAGGGCAUUCGUUGCCCAAAGCGGCUGCUGGGUUGUUUCUGGAGACCUCACGGCUGGAGAAGGAGGAGAAGGGGUGGGAGAGCGGUUCCUCAUUUGAGAGCUUUCACUCUAUAAUUAAGCUGAACAAGAGACUCUGAGCUAAAUCUCUGUUCCUCUCGCUCUGCCUGAGCAAACACAAAGAGGAGAAAAGGACUGAACCAAACAAUUAAAACAAGAAAUAAAAUUGCACAGAGAGGUCUGUGGAAUGAUUUUUCCUUGACACACUCGCCCCCAACAAGUGCCACAUGCCCUGUGCAUAAAUAGCAGCUGCCCAGACUUGCUUAAUCAUCCCAUUGUUGCUUUAUAAUAUUAAUUAAACAUUCCUCUGGGAUUGUUCGCAUCCUAAUUAAAUCACGAACUUACAAAAGCGGGUGAAGAAACCAGACAAGUGUAUGCUGGGGGAUGCACAGCCCGAUUUCGCUAAACUGCGUGCAAUCACCUUCCAAAAAACCACAAUGAUGGAGGGCAGGGCGGUGGGAAGCAUUUCUCGUGGGGCUGGGGGCUCUGAUUAAUGGUCGGGGGCUCUGAUAAGAGCCGGGGUCUCUGAUUAAUGGCCCUCGGGGCUCGGCAGCGGCCGCUUGCUGCGGAGCACUCGGAGCGGGAGCCUGGGGGGUGCAGGCAGGGGCGAGCUCCCCACCGGCGAGGCACGAGCGUCGUCCUUGGCCGAUAUCAAAGGGACAAUUAAUGCGCAGCUGCUCGGCGAGGGGCGGGGGAGGCGAGGGGCUGCGCUCAGCACCCCGCAGGCAGCAGCUGGGCUGCACGACCCCAGCCCCGGGUACAGGCGAGGAAUCCCCCAAACCCCACUGGGGCUGCAGGGACAGGCUGGCAGCAUGCGAGCGCGGAGAUGCCCAGAAGUGGAGCCGCAUCGAGACACGUGGGGGAUAACGUCCGAUCUCAGGGCGAUCCCAGCCUCGCUGGUGUGUCCUGGACAGGAGCAACACCGAGCCCUGGCCUCCCAUGGAGGGCAGCCUCUGCCCCGUGCUGUGCUCGGCCUCCCCAGCUUCUGCUUUCAUGUCGGAGGAAGAGUUGAGCACAUUGUUCCCAGCCAAGGCUCAUGCGCCCUGCAGGGAUGUGCUGUGAAUAACGUCCCAAAUUAUAUGAGUAAUUAAAAUCAAUGAGAGGGUAUCCUGUUAAAUAACGUAAUUAGAUGAGCAUGGCGAGCAAGACGAGUGUAAGAGCGUUUUUGUUCUCCUCCUGCUGAUAGCUUCCAACUCCUUCCCCGUUGUCUCCUCCCUGGGAGAUGCAGCGGGCAUCACGCGUGGCCGUGCCUGGCUGCACGUUCCCCUCGCGGAGGCUCUUGUGGGGUCUCCGGAGCCCCAUCCUGCUCCCUCUCAUGCUGCCACCACACACGGGGUGAUCUCUACCCUCAGCCUCCAUCCUGGGCAGGACCACAGGGGCGA